ACGGAGGGUGCGAGCGUUAUUCGGAAUUACUGGGCGUAAAGCGUGCGCAGGCGGGGAAGUAAGUCUGAUGUGAAAUCCCCGGGCUUAACUCCGGAACUGCCAUUGAAACUGUCAUUCUUGAGUUUUGGAGAGGAAGGGGGAAUUCGCGGUGUAGAGGUGAAAUUCGUAGAGAUCGCGCGGAAUACCAGUGGCGUAGGCACCCUUCUGGACGGUUACUGACGCUGAGGCGCGAAAGCGUGGGGAUCGAACAG
Molecule: ribosomal RNA, 251 nt
Filed under: uncultured prokaryote
Description: partial 16S rRNA
Rfam family: Bacterial small subunit ribosomal RNA
Source: RNAcentral